RNAcentral lists this long non-coding RNA (1202 nucleotides) under Salvator merianae (Argentine black and white tegu). RNAcentral describes it as "lncRNA (ENSSMRG00000015277.1)". Lineage: Eukaryota; Metazoa; Chordata; Lepidosauria; Squamata; Teiidae. The record is from RNAcentral.
AUGCGCGCCCCCUGCCACUGCUUUCUCCAGCACAGCCACACGCGUUCGCUUCCGCUUCCGCGUCCCCCUUGUUCUAUCAGUCAGUGUCAGACUCAGGACUUUCGCCUCGCUCCCGCCUUUUCCUGGGUGCGCGGGCGGGCGGACGCAGGGGAGUGCGCAUGCGCACCCGAUCUGGGCCUUCUCUCGCCUAGCCCGCCCGCCCGUCACUGCCCGUGUAGCGUCGUUGCCCUCACCGCCGCCGAGGCAGCAGAAGCGGCAGCAGCGGCGCGGGAAGGAAGGGAGGCGGGCGAGCGAGCGACAGCGACGGGCACGGGGAGGCAGCACAGGCGGCUCCCGAGCGAGGCAGGGCGAGCGACGCGGCGGGCCCAUCACCGUGCCGGAGACAUACCCGAGGCCACAUGCUACAGAUCAAAAGUAUCGGAAACGACAUGAAACAAAGCAAGAUAGAACCUGGAGAAAAGAAUCAAAAUUUCUCUUUUAUUCCUCAUUAAUGCACAACUUCUUUCUGGUUGCUGAUUGGUUACUUUUUUCUUUCUUUUUGCUCAUAAUGAAUAUUUGAUUUACUAUGGAUAAAUCUUAGACUAGGAACCAUCAAAUUCCUUCAGUGUGUUUUCCAGAAAUCACCUUUUUUAUUAUUAUUUGUCCCAGGGGAACUCAUGUAGCACUGUUGCCUUCUCAGGUUUUGUAGAAGUGUUCAACCUGUAGAUUUUUCUCAGUAUGGUCCCUUGGGCUUACGAAAAUCUAGCGCUUGUCAUUUUAGCAACAAUUUAUCUGCUCCCCCCCUUAUUUUGGAAUAUUAAGGUCCUGACUGUAAAGAUUUUCUACUUAGAUUUGUUUAAAGGAACAGAAAUGUUAUUGUCUGCAAGUCACAUUACUGAACCUUUUUUUUUUUUUGCUGUUGUACAUACUGUGCAUACAGAUUCUCAUCCCAAAAAACUCUUCUCAUUGUAGAUGAGUGGCACAUGUGAUGUUUUGUCAUUAGCUGUCAUGAAAUUUUGUAUUAAUGUGAGCUGCUCUUGAAAAGACUAAUCAGAGUUGGUUUAAAAAUAAUGGGCUAUAUAAAUGCUGAUGUAGAAAACAAUGGUACAGUGAUCUUCCAUACAAAACACAUUCACAGCCCUUCUUGAAAAAUAUAUAUUAGUGAUAAAUAUAUGGGGUGUAAAUUCAAUAAAACUGGAAAGGUUAUUUUUCUUAAGACUGCA